UAGUCGCAGAGAAGCUUCCAAG
This 22-nucleotide non-coding RNA is filed under the name Arabidopsis thaliana (thale cress). Lineage: Eukaryota; Viridiplantae; Streptophyta; Magnoliopsida; Brassicales; Brassicaceae. The record is from RNAcentral.